AUGGCCCUAUCACGUUUAAACAAUGGUUUUCAUCCAAUCACCGAAGUUAAGCACCAUCAAGCCUGGUCAGUACCUAGAUGGGUGACCAUUUGGAGAUACCAGGUGUUGUAAG
Molecule: non-coding RNA, 112 nt
Organism: Acanthosepion pharaonis
Lineage: Eukaryota; Metazoa; Mollusca; Cephalopoda; Sepiida; Sepiidae
Source: the annotation of a GenBank genome assembly